GUGUCAGCAGCCGCGGUAAUACGUAGGUGGCGAGCGUUGUCCGGAAUUACUGGGCGUAAAGGGCGUGUAGGCGGCCUUUUAAGUCAGAUGUGAAAUCUCAGGGCUUAACCCUGAAACUGCAUUUGAAACUGGAGGGCUUGAGGAUCGGAGAGGGCAGUGGAAUUCCCAGUGUAGCGGUGAUAUGCGUAGAUAUUGGGAAGAACACCAGUGGCGAAGGCGACUGCCUGGACGACACCUGACGCUGAGGCGCGAAAGCUAGGGUAGCGAACGGGAUUAGAUACCCCAGUAGUCC
RNAcentral lists this ribosomal RNA (292 nucleotides) under uncultured bacterium. RNAcentral describes it as "partial 16S ribosomal RNA". It matches the Rfam family "Bacterial small subunit ribosomal RNA", at positions 505 to 796 of the family's 1533-position model. The record is from RNAcentral.